Molecule: ribosomal RNA, 494 nt
Filed under: uncultured bacterium
Lineage: Bacteria
Description: partial 16S ribosomal RNA
Rfam family: Bacterial small subunit ribosomal RNA
Source: RNAcentral
GACGAACGCUGGCGGCGUGCUUAACACAUGCAAGUCGAACGGUGAAGCGCCUUCCUUUUUGGUGGGUGUGGAUGAGUGGCGAACGGGUGAGUAACACGUGAGUAACCUGCCCCCUUCUUCUGGAUAACCGCAUGAAAGUGUGGCUAAUACGGGACAUUCUGGGUCUGUCGCAUGAUGGGUCUGGGAAAGAUAUUGUUUCGGUGGGGGAUGGGCUCGCGGCCUAUCAGCUUGUUGGUGGGGUGAUGGCCUACCAAGGCGGUGACGGGUAGCCGGCCUGAGAGGGUGGACGGUCACACUGGGACUGAGACACGGCCCAGACUCCUACGGGAGGCAGCAGGGGGGAAUAGUGCACAAUGGGCGCAAGCCUGAUGCAGCGACGCCGCGUGAGGGAUGGAGGCCUGCGGGUUGUGAACCUCUUUCGCCAGUGAAGCAGGCCUGCCUCGUUUGUGGGUGGGUUGACGGUAGCUGGAUAAGAAGCGCCGGCUAACUACGUG